Molecule: ribosomal RNA, 505 nt
Filed under: uncultured bacterium
Lineage: Bacteria
Description: partial 16S ribosomal RNA
Rfam family: Bacterial small subunit ribosomal RNA
Source: RNAcentral
GACGAACGCUGGCGGCGUGCCUAAUACAUGCAAGUAGAACGCACAGUUUAUACCGUAGCUUGCUACACCAUAGACGGUGAGUUGCGAACGGGGGAGUAACGCGUAGGUAACCUGUCUGGUGGCUGGGGAUAACUAUUGGUAACGAUAGCUAAUACCGCAUGAUACUUAUUAUUGCAUGGUAAUUUAUUGAAAGAUGCUAUUGCAUCACUACUUGUUGGCUCUGCGGUGGAUUAGCUAGUAGGCGAGGUAACGGCUCAUCUAGGCGAGGAUACAUAGCCGACCGGAGAGGGUGAGCAGCCAGACUGGGACUGAGACACGCCCCAGACGCCUACGGGAGGCAGCCGUAGGGAUACGUGGGCAAGGGGUGGAAGUCUGAGCAAGAAACGCCGCGUGAGGGAGGAAGAAUUUCGGAUCGUAAAGCUCUGUUGUAAGGGAAGAACGGGUGUGAGAGUGGAAAGUUCACACUGUGACGGUAUCUGACCAGAAAGCAACGGCUAACUACGUG